Molecule: ribosomal RNA, 2899 nt
Filed under: Klebsiella pneumoniae
Lineage: Bacteria; Pseudomonadati; Pseudomonadota; Gammaproteobacteria; Enterobacterales; Enterobacteriaceae
Description: 23S ribosomal RNA
Source: RNAcentral
UUAAGCGACUAAGCGUACACGGUGGAUGCCCUGGCAGUCAGAGGCGAUGAAGGACGUGCUAAUCUGCGAAAAGCGUCGGUAAGGUGAUAUGAACCGUUAUAACCGGCGAUGUCCGAAUGGGGAAACCCAGUGUGAUUCGUCACACUAUCGUUAACUGAAUACAUAGGUUAACGAGGCGAACCGGGGGAACUGAAACAUCUAAGUACCCCGAGGAAAAGAAAUCAACCGAGAUUCCCCCAGUAGCGGCGAGCGAACGGGGAGCAGCCCAGAGUCUGAAUCAGCUUGUGUGUUAGUGGAACGGUCUGGAAAGUCCGACGGUACAGGGUGAUAGUCCCGUACACCAAAAUGCACAGGYUGUGAACUCGAAGAGUAGGGCGGGACACGUGGUAUCCUGUCUGAAUAUGGGGGGACCAUCCUCCAAGGCUAAAUACUCCUGACUGACCGAUAGUGAACCAGUACCGUGAGGGAAAGGCGAAAAGAACCCCGGCGAGGGGAGUGAAAAAGAACCUGAAACCGUGUACGUACAAGCAGUGGGAGCACCUUCGGGUGUGACUGCGUACCUUUUGUAUAAUGGGUCAGCGACUUAUAUUCUGUAGCAAGGUUAACCGUAUAGGGGAGCCGCAGGGAAACCGAGUCUUAACUGGGCGUUAAGUUGCAGGGUAUAGACCCGAAACCCGGUGAUCUAGCCAUGGGCAGGUUGAAGGUUGGGUAACACUAACUGGAGGACCGAACCGACUAAUGUUGAAAAAUUAGCGGAUGACUUGUGGCUGGGGGUGAAAGGCCAAUCAAACCGGGAGAUAGCUGGUUCUCCCCGAAAGCUAUUUAGGUAGCGCCUCGUGAACUCAUCUUCGGGGGUAGAGCACUGUUUCGGCUAGGGGGUCAUCCCGACUUACCAACCCGAUGCAAACUACGAAUACCGAAGAAUGUUAUCACGGGAGACACACGGCGGGUGCUAACGUCCGUCGUGAAGAGGGAAACAACCCAGACCGCCAGCUAAGGUCCCAAAGUCAUGGUUAAGUGGGAAACGAUGUGGGAAGGCACAGACAGCCAGGAUGUUGGCUUAGAAGCAGCCAUCAUUUAAAGAAAGCGUAAUAGCUCACUGGUCGAGUCGGCCUGCGCGGAAGAUGUAACGGGGCUAAACCAUGCACCGAAGCUGCGGCAGCGACACUAUGUGUUGUUGGGUAGGGGAGCGUUCUGUAAGCCUGCGAAGGUGWSCUGUGAGGSWUGCUGGAGGUAUCAGAAGUGCGAAUGCUGACAUAAGUAACGAUAAAGCGGGUGAAAAGCCCGCUCGCCGGAAGACCAAGGGUUCCUGUCCAACGUUAAUCGGGGCAGGGUGAGUCGACCCCUAAGGCGAGGCCGAAAGGCGUAGUCGAUGGGAAACAGGUUAAUAUUCCUGUACUUGGUGUUACUGCGAAGGGGGGACGGAGAAGGCUAUGUUAGCCGGGCGACGGUUGUCCCGGUUUAAGCAUGUAGGCUGAUUGUCCAGGCAAAUCCGGAUAAUCAAGGCUGAGGUGUGAUGACGAGGCACUACGGUGCUGAAGUAACAAAUGCCCUGCUUCCAGGAAAAGCCUCUAAGCAUCAGGUAACAUYAAAUCGUACCCCAAACCGACACAGGUGGUCAGGUAGAGAAUACCAAGGCGCUUGAGAGAACUCGGGUGAAGGAACUAGGCAAAAUGGUGCCGUAACUUCGGGAGAAGGCACGCUGGUGUGUAGGUGAAGYCCCUGCGGAUGGAGCUGAGACCAGUCGAAGAUACCAGCUGGCUGCAACUGUUUAUUAAAAACACAGCACUGUGCAAACACGAAAGUGGACGUAUACGGUGUGACGCCUGCCCGGUGCCGGAAGGUUAAUUGAUGGGGUUAUCCGUAAGGAGAAGCUCUUGAUCGAAGCCCCGGUAAACGGCGGCCGUAACUAUAACGGUCCUAAGGUAGCGAAAUUCCUUGUCGGGUAAGUUCCGACCUGCACGAAUGGCGUAAUGAUGGCCAGGCUGUCUCCACCCGAGACUCAGUGAAAUUGAACUCGCUGUGAAGAUGCAGUGUACCCGCGGCAAGACGGAAAGACCCCGUGAACCUUUACUAUAGCUUGACACUGAACAUUGAGCCUUGAUGUGUAGGAUAGGUGGGAGGCUUUGAAGCGUGGACGCCAGUCUGCGUGGAGCCAACCUUGAAAUACCACCCUUUAAUGUUUGAUGUUCUAACGUUGGCCCCUGACCGGGGUUGCGGACAGUGUCUGGUGGGUAGUUUGACUGGGGCGGUCUCCUCCCAAAGCGUAACGGAGGAGCACGAAGGUUAGCUAAUCCUGGUCGGACAUCAGGAGGUUAGUGCAAUGGCAUAAGCUAGCUUGACUGCGAGCGUGACGGCGCGAGCAGGUGCGAAAGCAGGUCAUAGUGAUCCGGUGGUUCUGAAUGGAAGGGCCAUCGCUCAACGGAUAAAAGGUACUCCGGGGAUAACAGGCUGAUACCGCCCAAGAGUUCAUAUCGACGGCGGUGUUUGGCACCUCGAUGUCGGCUCAUCACAUCCUGGGGCUGAAGUAGGUCCCAAGGGUAUGGCUGUUCGCCAUUUAAAGUGGUACGCGAGCUGGGUUUAGAACGUCGUGAGACAGUUCGGUCCCUAUCUGCCGUGGGCGCUGGAGAAUUGAGGGGGGCUGCUCCUAGUACGAGAGGACCGGAGUGGACGCAUCACUGGUGUUCGGGUUGUCAUGCCAAUGGCACUGCCCGGUAGCUAAAUGCGGAAGAGAUAAGUGCUGAAAGCAUCUAAGCACGAAACUUGCCCCGAGAUGAGUUCUCCCUGAGACUUUAAGUCUCCUGAAGGAACGUUGAAGACGACGACGUUGAUAGGCCGGGUGUGUAAGCGCAGCGAUGCGUUGAGCUAACCGGUACUAAUGAACCGUGAGGCUUAACCU